CCCUUAGAUGUUCUGGGCCGCACGCGCGCUACACUGACGGAUUCAACGAGCUUACAACCUUGGCCGAAAGGUCUGGGUAAUCUCCAAAAUCCGUCGUGAUGGGGAUAGAUUAUUGCAAUUAUUAAUCUUCAACGAGGAAUGCCUAGUAAGCGCAAGUCAUCAGCUUGCGUUGAUUACGUCCCUGCCCUUUGUACACACCGCCCGUCGUUCCUACCGAUUGAAUGGUCCGGUGAAGCGUUUGGACUAUGGUUUUCUGAUGGUCCGCCGUUGGAUUACCGUGGGAAGUUCGUUAAACCUUAUCAUUUAGAGGAAGGAGAAGUCGUAACA
RNAcentral lists this ribosomal RNA (327 nucleotides) under uncultured eukaryote. RNAcentral describes it as "partial 18S ribosomal RNA". It matches the Rfam family "Eukaryotic small subunit ribosomal RNA", at positions 1470 to 1796 of the family's 1831-position model. The record is from RNAcentral.